AAUGAACGCUGGCGGCGCGCCUAAUACAUGCAAGUCGAGCGAGAAGACGUAGCAAUACGUUUGUAAAGCGGCGAACGGGUGAGGAAUACAUGGGUAACCUACCCUCGAGUGGGGAAUAACUAGCCGAAAGGUUAGCUAAUACCGCGUACGCUUCUUGGACUUCGGUUCAGGGAGGAAAGCGAUGCCGAGGGUAUCGCGCUCUUGGAUGGGCUCAUGUCCUAUCAGCUUGGGUGAGGUAACGCUCACCAAGGCUUCGACGGGUAGCUGGUCUGAGAGGACGAUCAGCCACACUGGCACUGCGACACGGGCCAGACUCCUACGGAGCAGCAGUAAGGAUAUUGCGCAAUGGGCGAAAAGCCUGACGCAGCGACGCCGCGUGGGGGAUGAAGGUCUUCGGAUUGUAAACCCC
Molecule: ribosomal RNA, 409 nt
Filed under: uncultured bacterium
Lineage: Bacteria
Description: bacterial SSU rRNA
Rfam family: Bacterial small subunit ribosomal RNA
Source: RNAcentral